This 914-nucleotide ribosomal RNA is filed under the name uncultured marine archaeon. RNAcentral describes it as "bacterial SSU rRNA". It matches the Rfam family "Archaeal small subunit ribosomal RNA", at positions 1 to 922 of the family's 1478-position model. The record is from RNAcentral.
UUCCGGUUGAUCCCGCCGGACCUGACUGCUAUCGGAUUGAUACUAAGCCAUGCGAGUCUUUGCAGUAAUGCAAGGCAUACGGCUCAGUAACACGUAGUCAACUUACCCUAUGGACGAGGAUAAUCUCGGGAAACUGAGCAUAAUACUCGAUAGAUCAUAAUGCCUGGAAUGGUUUAUGGUUAAAAUGAUUCGUCGCCAUAGGAUGGGACUGCGGCCUAUCAGCUUGUUGGUGAGGUAAUGGCCCACCAAGGCGAUUACAGGUACGGGCUCUGAGAGGAGAAGCCCGGAGAUGGGUACUGAGACAAGGACCCAGGCCCUAUGGGGCGCAGCAGGCGAGAAAACUUUGCAAUGUGCGAAAGCACGACAAGGUUAAUCCGAGUGAUUUCUGCUAAAGAAAUCUUUUGCAAGUCAUAAAACCACUAGUGAAUAAGGGGUGGGCAAGUUCUGGUGUCAGCCGCCGCGGUAAAACCAGCACCUCAAGUGGUCAGGAGGAUUAUUGGGCCUAAAGCAUCCGUAGCCGGCUCUGUAAGUUUUCGGUUAAAUUCAUGUGCUCAACGCAUGAGCCGCCGAAAAUACUGCAUAGCUAGGGAGUGGGAGAGGUAGACGGUACUCGGUAGGAAGGGGUAAAAUCCUUUGAUCUAUCGAUGACCACCUGUGGCGAAGGCGGUCUACCAGAACACGUUCGACGGUGAGGGAUGAAAGCUGGGGGAGCAAACCGGAUUAGAUACCCGGGUAGUCCCAGCUGUAAACGAUGCAGACUCGAUGAUGCAUUGGCAUAUAGCCAGUGCAGUGUCGCAGGGAAGCCGUUAAGUCUGCCGCCUGGGAAGUACGUACGCAAGUAUGAAACUUAAAGGAAUUGGCGGGGGAGCACCACAAGGGGUGAAGCCUGCGGUUCAAUUGGAUUCAACGCCGGG